RNAcentral lists this ribosomal RNA (468 nucleotides) under uncultured bacterium. RNAcentral's name for it is "partial 16S ribosomal RNA". It matches the Rfam family "Bacterial small subunit ribosomal RNA", at positions 28 to 507 of the family's 1533-position model. The record is from RNAcentral.
GACGAACGCUGGCGGCGUGCUUAACACAUGCAAGUCGAACGGAAAGGCCCUGCUUUUGUGGGGUGCUCGAGUGGCGAACGGGUGAGUAACACGUGAGUAACCUGCCCUUGACUUUGGGAUAACUUCAGGAAACUGGGGCUAAUACCGGAUAGGAGCUCCUGCUGCAUGGUGGGGGUUGGAAAGUUUCGGCGGUUGGGGAUGGACUCGCGGCUUAUCAGCUUGUUGGUGGGGUAGUGGCUUACCAAGGCUUUGGCGGGUAGCCGGCCUGAGAGGGUGACCGGCCACAUUGGGACUGAGAUACGGCCCAGACUCCUACGGGAGGCAGCAGUGGGGAAUAUUGCACAAUGGGCGGAAGCCUGAUGCAGCAACGCCGCGUGCGGGAUGACGGCCUUCGGGUUGUAAACCGCUUUCGCCUAUGACGAAGCGUGAGUGACGGUAAUGGGUAAAGAAGCACCGGCUAACUACGUG